GGGAAUUUAAACCUCUUCCAGAGUAUCAAUUGGAGGGCAAGUCUGGUGCCAGCAGCCGCGGUAAUUCCAGCUCCAAUAGCGUAUAUUAAAAUUGUUGCAGUUAAAAAGCUCGUAGUUGAAUUUCUGCUGCAUUGCUUUUGCUCCUUUACGAGUCUUUGCAUUGUGGCUUAUUUCGGACUUUGUUUUACAAUGUCCGGAUGUUUACUUUGAGAAAAUUAGAGUGCUCAAAGCAGGCUUUCGCCUUGAAUAGUUUAGCAUGGAAUAAUAAAGUAGGACUUUGGUUCUAUUUUGUUGGUUUUAGGUACCAAAGUAAUGGUUAAUAGGAACAGUUGGGGGCAUUCGUAUUUAACUGUCAGAGGUGAAAUUCUUAGAUUUGUUAAAGACGAACUACUGCGAAAGCAUUUGCCAAGGAUGUUUUCAUUAAUCAAGAACGAAAGU
RNAcentral lists this ribosomal RNA (438 nucleotides) under Theileria ovis. Its description in RNAcentral is "SSU rRNA". It matches the Rfam family "Eukaryotic small subunit ribosomal RNA", at positions 519 to 990 of the family's 1831-position model. The record is from RNAcentral. Lineage: Eukaryota; Apicomplexa; Aconoidasida; Piroplasmida; Theileriidae.